RNAcentral lists this ribosomal RNA (550 nucleotides) under uncultured bacterium. RNAcentral describes it as "bacterial SSU rRNA". It matches the Rfam family "Bacterial small subunit ribosomal RNA", at positions 355 to 896 of the family's 1533-position model. The record is from RNAcentral.
UAGGGANUCUUCCACAAUGGGCGCAAGCCUGAUGGAGCAACACCGCGUGAGUGAAGAAGGGUUUCGGCUCGUAAAGCUCUGUUGUUAAAGAAGAACACGUAUGAGAGUAACUGUUCAUACGUUGACGGUAUUUAACCAGAAAGUCACGGCUAACUACGUGCCAGCAGCCGCGGUAAUACGUAGGUGGCAAGCGUUAUCCGGAUUUAUUGGGCGUAAAGAGAGUGCAGGCGGUUUUCUAAGUCUGAUGUGAAAGCCUUCGGCUUAACCGGAGAAGUGCAUCGGAAACUGGAUAACUUGAGUGCAGAAGAGGGUAGUGGAACUCCAUGUGUAGCGGUGGAAUGCGUAGAUAUAUGGAAGAACACCAGUGGCGAAGGCGGCUACCCGGUCUGCAACUGACGCUGAGACUCGAAAGCAUGGGUAGCGAACAGGAUUAGAUACCCUGGUAGUCCAUGCCGUAAACGAUGAGUGCUAGGUGUUGGAGGGUUUCCGCCCUUCAGUGCCGGAGCUAACGCAUUAAGCACUCCGCCUGGGGAGUACGACCGCAAGGUUG